GGGAGUGACUAUGGGCGGCGAGAACUUGCUCCUGCUACAGUUGCGGUCAUCAUGACUACGCCCCCCUCCUGCGGACCAUGUUCCAUGGUAAGCGCUCCUCUCUCGCGCGGCGCACAAGUUCGCGCGCCCUGCGCGCCGGGACACUGCGGGACGCGCCGCUGGCCCCCGCUGCAAGGCACGUCCGGGAAUAGCCCGGCCUUGCACUUUGGACCUGCCGAGAGCGCUGGCUCUCCCACGGGCAGCUGCCAGCUGCGCCGGAGUCCUGUGGCCCACAGGCACACCUCUGGCUGCUGCGCCUGGCAGGCUGUGAGAAGCAGUCCCCGACGCCGGCUUUCUGUCCCGAGACCGAGCGCUGCAGCCUCCGCGUCGCUCAGCGGCGGCAGCCUACACCUGGGUCUCAGAGUUUCUUUUAGGUAUAUCUUUGGAAUUCCUCCAUUGAUCCUUGUUCUGUUGCCAGUAGCAUCAUCUGAUUGUGAUAUUGAAGGUCAAGAUGGCAAAGAAUAUGAAAGCGUCCUAAUGAUCAGCAUCGAUGAGCUACUGGACAGCAUGAAAGAAAUUGGUAGCAAUUGCCUGAAUAAUGAAUCUAACUUUUUUAAAAAACAUUUAUGUGAUGAUAAUAAGGAAGGUACGUUUCUAUAUCGUGCUGCUCGCAAAUUGAAGCAAUUUCGUAAAAUGAAUAACAGUGACAAUUUCGAUCACCACUUAUCAAUGGUUUCACAAGGCACAUUACAACUGUUGAACUGCACCAGCAAGGUUAAAGGAAGAAAAUCUCCUUCCCUGAGUGAAGCCCAACCAACAAAGAAUUUGGAAGAAAAUAAAUCUUUAAAGGAACAGAAAAAACAGAAUGGCUUGUGUUUCCUAAAGAGACUAAUACAAAAGAUAAAAACUUGUUGGAAUAAAAUUUUGAGGGGCACUAAAGAACACUGAAAAAUAUGGAGUGGCGAUAUAGAAACAUAUGAACUUUACUUGCAUCCUCCAAGAAUCUAUCUGCUUAUGAAAUUUUUUUUGGAGUGGAAUGCCUUCUGGAAGUUACUGAAUGCAUCCUGGUAAAAUGGAUUAGAGAAAUUAAGAAAUCCAUAUUAUAUUACUAGAAAAUGGAUACAAGCAAUGGAAACUGAAUGCUGCAAUCAACAAACUAUUUCAUAUGUCUCUGCCUAAGCAUUGAAACAGAGAAGAAAAAAAGAAAAAAAAAACAGAAAAUGGUCAGCUGUAUAACUCGUGUCCCUCUUCAAUACUUCUGCAGCACUUUGUUGGUACCUUCAUAAUAAAGAAAAGUUCCAUUAAAAUAAACCACUUCUUUCUUUCCUAAGUUGUAAUUACCUGUUUAUAUAUCAUUCCCUCCAAAUAAGUUAUAUCAACUUGAGGGCAGGGACUUAAUCACAUGUUAUUUAUUCUCUUGAUCCCCAGCAUUUCAUAGCAUGAAGAGUAUAUGAAGCAUUUUUUAAAGGUAGGCAUAAAGCUUUAGCUUUGUGCACUUCACAUUAGCUGGUCCACUUAUUAGCUACUAUUUAAAUAGUUCCCACUCUCAUAUGUUAGGUAAUGUUAAGUUAAUCUAGAGCAUUAGGGAAAAAAAAAAAGAUCUUUAUCUUAAAUAAAAUUAUCACUAAGUUGUACAACUAAGAUGAAAUAUUAGUAUCCUUAAAAGAUUAAAACUUAUUAAAUGGUUGUACAACUAAGAUGAAAUAUUAGUAUCUUAGAGGAGAUUGUAACUUACUUAACUGUUGUACAACUAACAUUUCCUAGUACUCACUAGGAAGC
Non-coding RNA from Microcebus murinus (gray mouse lemur), 1758 nucleotides. The record is from RefSeq and is a predicted model, not a curated record. NCBI's taxonomy places the organism in Eukaryota, Metazoa, Chordata, Mammalia, Primates, Cheirogaleidae.